CGGAAUGUGGAGACACUUAAUGUGCAAAGACACCGACGGGUGUUACAUUUGCCUUCGGUGACCUUAAGAACUUUCUGCGUAAAAAGCUAUUUUACAUCAAAGCAGUCUUUUAUCUAAAGGUUUGGUAUAUGACAAAUAGUCGACCACACUGGCAAGAGCACUUUGACAACUGGAAGCUUUCAGCGCAUGCUCUCCCAAGGAAUCAUGGGGCUUGAAGUCUACAGAUGGCAUUUCACUGCUGCUAGCCUGAAAGGAACAGGGCUCAGAAGGAAACAAAGUAUGUGCACACUCCCUCUUUCCUGGGAAAAUUGCUGCAGUCUGAAUCACCAGCUCUGAGGACAUAAACAUCUGUCAGACUGAGCUGAAAAUUAUUCAAGGAUGCAUGUGGAAGUCACCGCACCCUUACUGUCAGUUCUUUCCAGGAGACAGCUUCACUUUGUAGACCAAUUAUUAAGAUAAGGAGAGUGCUCAUUAUGAUAUUUGCAAAUGGAGAAGCGCUCCAGAACUGAAGAAAACUGGGACGUAAAGACAGGUUUUGAUCAACUAGCCAGUAGAAGAAAACCAGUUUCUACAAUAACAAAAGUUGUAUCAGAGCACAAGACCUUAAUGCAAUCUGGUAUUUAAAUUAUUUGACCUGGGCCAACUCCAAAUAAACAAACAUAAAAAAGGCCUAAAUAAGCCUAGAUAACUCAAUCAACAUUGUAUUAAGUGUAUUUUCAUUUUAUAAAAUUUAUUAUUAAACUAUUUAAGCCUUUUAUGACUAACAAACCAUGCUAGUCUUUUUGCCAGAAAGUGAAUACUUCAACUAACUUGAAGGUUAAAAUGAAGAAUUAAGUUACUGAAAAAAUUUUAUUGUAGAAAUCUUUGUAUCACUUUAGAUUUGUUUCAUUUUAGUUUAAUAGAGGGCUCCUUGUCUUUCUAAAGAUGAAAUCAAGUAGAUAAAAAAUGCCUAACUGAUCUUGUAAUUUAAUUUUAUAUAUUACAUUCAUAGCCAUUAAAGUGCUUUUUUGCCAAAAUAUAACACUUUCAUAUUGCCAGGUUACUUAGCUUUCACUGAAAACAGUGAAUAAUUCCAACAACCUUAAUACUGUCAGAUCAAAAGAACUGUAUUAAGAUUCUGCUCCUUCAUUAUUCAGUCUCUUUUUCAGGCCUUGAAGAAAUGGUCAGAUAAAUAUUUAAUAUACCUCCAUAUUGUUCUUACAGUAAUUGCUAGUCAACU
Molecule: long non-coding RNA, 1219 nt
Organism: Columba livia (rock pigeon)
Lineage: Eukaryota; Metazoa; Chordata; Aves; Columbiformes; Columbidae
Exons: 3
Source: RefSeq, a predicted model, not a curated record